UGGGGAAUAUUGCACAAUGGGCGCAAGCCUGAUGCAGCAACGCCGCGUGAACGAUGAAGGUCUUCGGAUCGUAAAGUUCUGUUGCAGGGGAAGAUAAUGACGGUACCCUGUGAGGAAGCCCCGGCUAACUACGUGCCAGCAGCCGCGGUAAUACGUAGGGGGCUAGCGUUAUCCGGAUUUACUGGGCGUAAAGAGCUCGUAGGCGGUUUGUCACGUCGUCUGUGAAAUCCUAGGGCUUAACCCUGGACGUGCAGGCGAUACGGGCUGACUUGAGUACUACAGGGGAGACUGGAAUUUCUGGUGUAGCGGUGGAAUGCACAGAUAUCAGGAAGAACACCGAUGGCGAAGGCAGGUCUCUGGGUAGUAACUGACGCUGAGGAGCGAAAGCAUGGGUAGCGAACAGG
This 404-nucleotide ribosomal RNA is filed under the name Verrucomicrobiota bacterium. RNAcentral describes it as "Verrucomicrobia bacterium partial 16S ribosomal RNA". It matches the Rfam family "Bacterial small subunit ribosomal RNA", at positions 355 to 776 of the family's 1533-position model. The record is from RNAcentral. Lineage: Bacteria; Pseudomonadati; Verrucomicrobiota.